RNAcentral lists this transfer RNA (85 nucleotides) under Madurella mycetomatis. RNAcentral's name for it is "tRNA-Ser". It matches the Rfam family "tRNA". From Rfam's summary of the family: Transfer RNA (tRNA) molecules are approximately 80 nucleotides in length. Their secondary structure includes four short double-helical elements and three loops (D, anti-codon, and T loops). The record is from RNAcentral. Lineage: Eukaryota; Fungi; Ascomycota; Sordariomycetes; Sordariales.
GGAGAUUUGACUGAGUGGUUUAAAGUGGUUAGCUUGAGCCUAACUAUGGUAAUUUCCAUCAUAGGUUCGAAUCCUAUAGUCUCCG